UCUCCUUGUUUCACAAGGCGAAUUGUAAUCUAUAGAGGUAGUUCACACCGGGUGGUGGCGCAGAAGUUCCCUGGAACGGGACGCCAAAGAGGGUGAGAGCCCCGUAUGUGGUGCCGCCGCCUAACGUAGAACGCUCUCAAAGAGUCGGGUUGUUUUGUAGCGCAGCCCUAAUCAGGAGAUAAACUUCUUCUAAGGCUAAAUAUAUAUGGGAAACCGAUAGCGAACAAGUACUGUGAAGGAAAGAUGAAAAGCACUUUGGAAAGAGAGUCAAAAGACCUGAAACCGUUGAGGAGGAAGCGGUAGAGAUGAAUUCUAUAACGAGUCACUGGAAAAAUGGCCUAACUUUCUCAAAUACAUAGUACGUCAAAGACUAUCGUUUGUUCCAAGGGAAGCCAUUGACUUGUGCUGCGUUGUGAGACCGGAUGGGGUGACGUGAUCACAGAGGCCUGCUUGGCCUGGCUCAACUCGUUGGGCAGCCAGGAAGUGCCGGUGAUUUCGUGGCCUGAGGGUGCUUUGUGCGAUCCGGUCAAAAUGGUCUUUACCGACUCGUCUUGAAACACGAACCAAGGAGUCUA
Molecule: ribosomal RNA, 575 nt
Filed under: uncultured Strombidium
Lineage: Eukaryota; Ciliophora; Spirotrichea; Strombidiidae
Description: partial large subunit ribosomal RNA
Rfam family: Eukaryotic large subunit ribosomal RNA
Source: RNAcentral